Molecule: ribosomal RNA, 1434 nt
Filed under: uncultured organism
Description: SSU rRNA
Rfam family: Bacterial small subunit ribosomal RNA
Source: RNAcentral
UAACACAUGCAAGUCGAGGGGCAGCAUUUUAGUUUGCUUGCAAACUGAAGAUGGCGACCGGCGCCCGGGUGAGUAACACGUAUCCAACCUGCCGAUAACUCCGGGAUAGCCUUUCGAAAGAAAGAUUAAUACCGGAUAGCAUACGAAUAUCGCAUGAUAUUUUUAUUAAAGAAUUUCGGUUAUCGAUGGGGAUGCGUUCCAUUAGUUUGUUGGCGGGGUAACGGCCCACCAAGACUACGAUGGAUAGGGGUUCUGAGAGGAAGGUCCCCCACAUUGGAACUGAGACACGGUCCAAACUCCUACGGGAGGCAGCAGUGAGGAAUAUUGGUCAAUGGGCGCGAGCCUGAACCAGCCAAGUAGCGUGAAGGAUGAAGGCUCUAUGGGUCGUAAACUUCUUUUAUAUGGGAAUAAAGUUUUCCACGUGUGGAAUUUUGUAUGUACCAUAUGAAUAAGGAUCGGCUAACUCCGUGCCAGCAGCCGCGGUAAUACGGAGGAUCCGAGCGUUAUCCGGAUUUAUUGGGUUUAAAGGGAGCGUAGGUGGAUUGUUAAGUCAGUUGUGAAAGUUUGCGGCUCAACCGUAAAAUUGCAGUUGAAACUGGCAGUCUUGAGUACAGUAGAGGUGGGCGGAAUUCGUGGUGUAGCGGUGAAAUGCUUAGAUAUCACGAAGAACUCCGAUUGCGAAGGCAGCUCACUAGACUGUCACUGACACUGAUGCUCGAAAGUGUGGGUAUCAAACAGGAUUAGAUACCCUGGUAGUCCACACAGUAAACGAUGAAUACUCGCUGUUUGCGAUAUACAGUAAGCGGCCAAGCGAAAGCAUUAAGUAUUCCACCUGGGGAGUACGCCGGCAACGGUGAAACUCAAAGGAAUUGACGGGGGCCCGCACAAGCGGAGGAACAUGUGGUUUAAUUCGAUGAUACGCGAGGAACCUUACCCGGGCUUAAAUUGCAACAGAAUAUAUUGGAAACAGUAUAGCCGUAAGGCUGUUGUGAAGGUGCUGCAUGGUUGUCGUCAGCUCGUGCCAUGAGGUGUCGGCUUAAGUGCCAUAACGAGCGCAACCCUUAUCUUUAGUUACUAACAGGUCAUGCUGAGGACUCUAGAGAGACUGCCGUCGUAAGAUGUGAGGAAGGUGGGGAUGACGUCAAAUCAGCACGGCCCUUACGUCCGGGGCUACACACGUGUUACAAUGGGGGGUACAGAAGGCGGCUACCUGGUGACAGGAUGCUAAUCCCAAAAACCUCUCUCAGUUCGGAUCGAAGUCUGCAACCCGACUUCGUGAAGCUGGAUUCGCUAGUAAUCGCGCAUCAGCCAUGGCGCGGUGAAUACGUUCCCGGGCCUUGUACACACCGCCCGUCAAGCCAUGAAAGCCGGGGGUACCUGAAGUACGUAACCGCAAGGAGCGUCCUAGGGUAAAACUGGUAAUUGGGGCUAAGU